CUCAUAUUCCAGCUUCAUGCGGAUCGUCCGGCGGAAGAAACCCUUGCAGCCCUCGCAGGCGUGCACACCGUAGUGGAAGCCCGAGGCUUUGUCUCCACAGACUCUGCACUCCACAUUCAGUGCCCCCGAGGCCGUCUCCUCGCAGCCCAUCUGCAGUUGGUCUGACAGGGAGGGAGAGGAGCUCUGCGAAAGGUCGGUGUAGCUGCUCGAGGGCAGCGAGCUGUCUGGUCCUGCACUUGGGUCCGAGGCUCCGCUGGGCACUGUCACUGCCUCUUCCUCUUCCUCCUCCUCUUCCCUGACCUCAGGUACUUCCUCCUGUAGUUGUUCCAUAACUGAUCACCCCUCAGUGCCAAG
Molecule: long non-coding RNA, 354 nt
Filed under: Gallus gallus (chicken)
Lineage: Eukaryota; Metazoa; Chordata; Aves; Galliformes; Phasianidae
Source: RNAcentral